GUACACUCCUGCGGGAGGCAGCAGUGGGGAAUUUUGGACAAUGGGCGAAAGCCUGAUCCAGCAAUGCCGCGUGAGUGAAGAAGGCCUUCGGGUUGUAAAGCUCUUUUGUCAGGGAAGAAACGGUGAAAGCUAAUAUCUUUUGCUAAUGACGGUACCUGAAGAAUAAGCACCGGCUAACUACGUGCCAGCAGCCGCGGUAAUACGUAGGGUACAAGCGUUAAUCGGAAUUACUGGGCGUAAAGCGUGCGCAGGCGGUUUUGUAAGUCUGAUGUGAAAUCCCCGGGCUCAACCUGGGAAUUGCAUUGGAGACUGCAAGGCUAGAAUCUGGCAGAGGGGGGUAGAAUUCCACGUGUAGCAGUGAAAUGCGUAGAUAUGUGGAGGAACACCGAUGGCGAAGGCAGCCCCCUGGGUCAAGAUUGACGCUCAUGCACGAAAGCGUGGGGAGCAAACAGGAUUAGAAACCCGAGUAGUCCCAUGA
Molecule: ribosomal RNA, 478 nt
Filed under: uncultured organism
Description: partial 16S ribosomal RNA
Rfam family: Bacterial small subunit ribosomal RNA
Source: RNAcentral